Molecule: long non-coding RNA, 3393 nt
Organism: Pseudoliparis swirei
Lineage: Eukaryota; Metazoa; Chordata; Actinopteri; Perciformes; Liparidae
Exons: 2
Source: RefSeq, a predicted model, not a curated record
UUGUUUCCCCACAUUUCUUUCCUCCAUUCAUCUCGCCAGUCACUAUUCAAACCGCCUCAUUUACUUUAUUUGUUGGUGAACUUAUUGGUUUAGUGAGCUGUACCUCGCUACCCGUUUGACUCUGUAAGCUUUUUGUCUUAUAAGAUUAACAUCACUAAAUAUGCCAAUUACUGCAUUCUGCUUUUGACAGUUACAUUUCUCUAAACUCUAAAUACAUCUAUGCAAGCUGGCUUAAUGAAUAAUUUCUAGAAGUAUUUCUUGUCUCGGAAAGCUGGACCAGCUUACUAAUAAAAAAAGGGCAUCACAGUAUAUCAAGCUAUGUAUUCAUACUCAAGUAACGCCGUCAAAUUCAGACCUCAACUCCUGUCUGCAGUUGGACCACUGCAGCUGUGCCUUUUCAUGACCACAUUGGCUCAGUCAAAGGUCUAUAUUUAACUGAGUGGCCCCCCGGGGGGUUAGUCUUCCGCAGCCUUGAAUGGGCAGGGUCAUUCACUCGUGCACCAGUCACAGCACUGAGGGGGGCCGCUGAAAUGCACUGUAGUUUAUGUCUGUUUCUCCCCCGCAGGAACUCUUCCCACGACAAAGAGCUGAGGGGACACCACCUGUGCUCUGCUUACAUCUGAGACCAAACAUGGCACGACCCGCACAUCUAGACACAGUGCGGCAGUGAGACCGAGCAUUGCUGCCCACAGGGAUGUGUCUCACAGCCAACAGGCAGGAAGCAGCCGGGCAGAGUGGUCACGGUGUAAAGGGCAGAAGCAGAGCAGCAGCUAGUCGGGGUCAGUGAAGUUUCUUGUAAGGAUUGGGUGACAGCUACAGCUAUAUCUGUGCAAGUUUGCUGUAGCUCUCAUGUACAUUUUCAGGAAAGUGAAAUCAAAGCCACACAUCGCUCUUCAAGUGGAUCACUAACUUCCUGACAGGACGCAGCAGGUGAGGCUGGGAAAAAUCACAUCCAGCACUUGGACUCUCAGCACUGGCGUCCCCCAGGGAUGUGUGCUCUCCCCACUGCUCUUCUCCCUCUGCACCAACGACUGCACCUCAGGGUUAAGGUUAGUGUCUCGUGUCUGGGUUAGGGUUAAUGUCUCGCGUUAGGGUUAGUGUCUAGCAUCUGGGUUAGGGUUAGUGUCUUGUGUCUCGUGUUUGGGUUAGUGUCUAGCUUUAGGGUCAACGUCUGUUAAACUCCUGAAGUUUGCAGAUGAAAUAACAGUCCUCGGCCUCAUCAGGAACGGUGAUGAGCCUGCGUACAAACGGGAGGUUGAACAGCUGGUCCUCUGGUGGAGUCAGAACAACCUGGAGCUGAACAAGCCCAAAACGUUGGAGAUGACGGUGGACUUUAGGAGGAGCCCCCCCAACACUACUCCCCCUCAUCAUACUGCGGUAGAGACCUUCAGGUUUCUGGGAUCCACAAUCUCCCAGGACCCGAAGUGGGCCUCCAACAUUAACGCCAUCUGGAAAAAGGCCCAGCAGAGGUUGUACUUGUUGCACCAGCUCAGGAAGUAGACUGUACAACAGACUACAACGGGUAGUCAGGUCUGCAGAGAGAACUAUUGGUUCCAGCCUCCCCUCCAUCAUGGACUUGUACACCUCCAGAGUCAGGAAGCGGGCUGGAAAGACCACUGCAGACCUUCACACCCUGGACACAAGCUGUUCCAUCUCCCCUCUGGUCGGCGCUCCAGAGCACUGGACGCCCAAACCACCAGACACAAGAACAGCUUCUGUCCACCGGCCAUCACUGUGAUGAACAGUUAAUCAGACACAUCCAUCUGCACUACUUGUACUAUCACCACCUUCUGCACUAACACCCGCAAUGCAUUGUCACUGUUGUUGUUUUUAUAUUGUACAUACAUGUUGCUACUCUGUUGUCUUUAAUGUAUUUCUAUAUCUUUGAAUCAACCUUUGUCAUUGCAGCUCCAGUCACGCAAUUUUGUCGUUCUGGAGACGUUUCCAAAUUGGAUCUGAUUGUUUUUAAAGUAGCAUUAGACUCAAUUUGUCAUUUAAUGCUCAGACUAUUUUUUCUCUCUCGAAUGUUGUGUAACUUCUUGGAGAUUACUUCACCUGGCUGAGUAAAUUACAAAAACGGUCCAAAUCAACGUCUUUAGAAAAUGGGUGUUUUGUUACAUUAGUUUAAUUUGCACUAAAGUAAUAAAGAGAAAUCAAGGGAUAAUCCAAGUAGAUGAAGGAAAACUAGGCCCUGAUCCUGGAGCGUCGCCAUUUUAGAAAACAAACAGAAAGAAUGUAAAUGUAACGAUUCAACCUCCAAAUCAAACAGAACUCCAAAUUACAGAGUGGUUCGUCAGGUUUGGUCUACUUUGUGUUUCACAACGGAGCUUCACGUAACUAUUCAUGUUCAGUAAUUUAGUAAAUGAAUAAUAGCUAACAAGGUGACGUAAGCCAUAGUAAUACGUAAGCUGUACAAGUAUCCACUCAGAGACUUUGACCCUGAAAGGGUUUGGAUUAGGUAUUGGGUAAAAAAUAUGUAUUUAAACAUGUGCUGUAAGUGGAACAAUAGUUUUAAUGCAAACUAUAAGACUGUUUAAAUAAAAGUAGAAACAGAUGAUUCAUGGUGCUAGUUUAAAUGGAAACAUGCUUUAUGUAAGUGUGUCGAUAUAAGAUAUUAUGUUAUAUUUACAUAUUGCCAUAAAGAAUUGUCAGUCUGCCUUUCACAGUCAAGGUUCAGGGAUAGUUAAAUUACAUUCUCGUGUUUCCUGGGCGUUUAUGACAAGAUGUGCGAUUUUAUAACAUUAUUAAUAUGUAUUUGCACUGAGAGGGAAGGUAUGGAGGUGUGAGUUGUGAUUGGGUCAUUUUCAGCCAAUAGAGGAUUGGUGAAACUGGAUAUAAUCUGUCGACACGGGAAUACUCUCCUGGCUCAGAGCCUCAGUCACAUGAUGGUUGAAAGAUGAAAAGUGAGCCGGAGAAAGGUGGAGUUAACCUAAGGGUUAGCGUUAGGGUUAGAACAGAGACAUUGGUGUCUCUGUUCCACCAAUAGCAGAGCAGGGGCCAUUCCUCUUAGACUGGGCUUUGCAAAACUGUGUGGACUUGGUCCACCAUAUGGCCACAGGAUGAAGUUUGAUAUUUUGUACGUAUUCAUUAAAACAAUGUGUCAUUUUUCAGUCAGAUGAGACAGAAAUUCAUUUAUCUUGUGCACAACUGAUGAUAUCUACAUUUUAAUGAGGAAUGCUGCGCUUAUUAAAGACUUAUUUGUUUCUUCUUUCUGUGACCCGGGGCUGUUCUGUCAGUGUCUGUGAUCCCUGACACGACAUCACACUCUUUUACAUAAAUGUUGUGAUUUCUAACACUCUUUUUUGUCAUAUGUUGUAUGUUCAUACACAAGCUGUCGUGGUUUUUGAUGUCUUGUUUAGUCUGUCUCCUGUUUGAUUAGAAGUGCACGCCUCA